Non-coding RNA from Prunus avium (sweet cherry), 623 nucleotides. NCBI's taxonomy places the organism in Eukaryota, Viridiplantae, Streptophyta, Magnoliopsida, Rosales, Rosaceae. The record is from RefSeq and is a predicted model, not a curated record.
AUGUUAAGUGGGUGGAAAAGAAAGUAAAGUGCAUCAAAAGUGAUGUAUGCAAUUUUAUGAAUAUAUGUGUUCAUAUUUAAUUGGUUUGAAACCAGAACCUUCUAAUUAUCAGUAUAAAAACCAGAACCUUCCCCAUUUGCUUUUCCUCAUCACUCUCUCGCAGUUUUCCUUCCCCUCAAAUCUGUCACUUCGUUUCAGUCCAAAAGCUUGAGUUUGUCCCCGUUUCAUUAGCAGAGAUGAGCGACCCAAAGUAUGGUUAUCCCUACCCUGCUCAAGGUCAAGGAGGUUAUUACCAAGGCCCUCCAGUAAUGGCACCUCCACAAUAUGCUGCUCCACCACCCAGGAGAGAACCAGGCUUCCUUGAGGGCUGUCUUGCUGCUCUGUGUUGCUGCUGCCUUCUUGACGAGUGUUGCUGCGAUCCCUCCGUCCUCUUUUUCUUUUAGAAUAUAUCAUGUAUCCUUGAAUAAUUCCACUCCUAUUGUAAUGUUUGAAGGUGAUCUUGUUGGAUCAUUUUAAUUUAUUUAGGGUUUAGGGUUUAUUUAUGUACAAGACUUGUAGUUGUUUCUAUUCUGCGUUGUAUGUGGCAUAAUCUCUCACUCACGCUUAUCCAAAAUAGUUAUCUU